RNAcentral lists this long non-coding RNA (380 nucleotides) under Triticum aestivum (bread wheat). RNAcentral's name for it is "long non-coding RNA (TAES_LNC021540)". Lineage: Eukaryota; Viridiplantae; Streptophyta; Magnoliopsida; Poales; Poaceae. The record is from RNAcentral.
UCUGCUGCGAUAAGUUUAAAUCGACCGGCAAUGUAACAGAUGGUGCACUUAUAUGGUGGUACGAAGUCUUCCACUAGGAAUGAAUUGUAUAUAUAGCACUAUAAUAUUGCAUGUUCACCAAAUCUGAUAAGUAUUGUCACUGUAAUAGUGAAGGAAUGCGAUGAGGAGUGCAAUGACUUUUAGAAGACCGUAGUUGUCGAUGGCUGCACUGUAUGACCUGACAAGAAUCACAUAAAGAUGAGCAAUAUUAAUUGGCACUACCACAGUCUACAUAUAUUUGCUAAUGGAAUUUAGCCUAGUGAUGGGACAGAAGGUAAUCAUUCUUAGACUACUUGUCUCUCUACAUAAAUAACUUUGAGCAUUUCUGAAGUUCUGUCCAG